AAAAAAUAUUUACUCAGUUUCUCUAAUUUUUUCCCCCUUCCAAUUUAAAAAAUGUAGAGCAAAUAGCAAUUUUGCUAAGUCCAAUAUCGGCCUGACUUCACAGACACUUUUCCCGAGCACAAAGACACACCGACAAAUCCACCGCCAGCCUGACAGACGCACGCCUCCGAGAUCCGAUGCGCCUGCAACAGUCCCAUCGCACGUGCCACAUCCAUCCACGCGUGCCAACUUCUUGUAUUCACGUGCUACACCCUCUGCCUUCACUAUUUUCUCAUUCCCCAAUCUGUUGAGCAAAAAAUCAUACCAAGAGGAAGCCGAACUUCAGUUUCCCAAAUUCUCAUUUCGCAUUUCUCGAUUUCAAGCGAAAAUCGCUUCAUUUGAUUUGAUUUUGGAUCGAGGAGUUACUGGAAGGUGUGAAUUUUGGGAGAUUGUUGAAGUUGUCUGUAGGAGGCUGCGUCGUCGGCAAUGGAGGCGAUACUGGCUAGAGCCUUGGAGUACACGCUCAAGUACUGGCUCAAAUCCUUCUCCAGAGAUCAGUUAAAGCUUCAAGGACGUGUCGUACAACUAUCCAAUUUAGAUAUAAAUGGAGAUGCCCUGCAUGCGAGCAUGGGAUUGCCACCGGCGCUGAAUGUAACAAAGGCAAAAGUGCGCAAAUUCGAGAUAAUUCUCCCCUAUGUAAGUAACGUGCAAGUAGAGCCAAUUGUUAUACAAAUUGAUAGGCUCGAUUUGGUUCUGGAGGAGAAACAUGAUUUGGAUGCAUGUAGCAGCUCCAACAGCACACAGUCAUCUACUGGCUCCAGCAAGGCUAGUGGCUAUGGAUUUGCUGAUAAGGUUAGGUGCUAUGUUAGGUGCAGUUGCAUUGAGCUUUUGGUAGUUGGAAUUCAAUUACUGUAGUCGGCCUCUUGGAAAUAUGAUUCUUUUUCUAAACCCCAAUGCCUCAACCCUCCAAAACCAAGGCUUUUUACUUGCUAGAAUUAUUUAAAAUUGAAUGAUGUAUAGAUUUUUCAUUUUUCUUAAAUAUAAUGUUUAUUUUAAAGCUUAAACUUUGCUGGAAAAUUCAACUGUAAAGCUGUGUAAUAAGACAGCUACCAGACAAAAUGUUUGUUAUGUCUUAAAAUGUGGAUUGCUGAGAAUAAAUUGACUUUUAUCAGUUAUAUACAUGCAUAUGUGCAUUGCUUUCCCUUUUCUCACAAGUUGUAUGCACUUAGGCAAUUCUCAUUAGAAGAAAACACAUUUGGGGCUUGUUUACUCAACCUAGCAACCCAACACAAUUUAUCUUUACUGAUCUUGUGGUUAAUGAAAUGCAAUGGGAUGGAUAUAUUGGACAUAAAAAUUUGCCUUUGUUGAAUACUAGAUUGCAGAUGGAAUGACAAUUCAGGUUAGCACUGUCAAUCUUCUUCUUGAAACACGUGGGGGUGCUCGACGUGAGGGUGGUGCUGCUUGGGCAUCACCUCUAGCAUCCAUCACCAUACGCAACCUUUUAUUAUGCACCACAAAUGAAAAUUGGCAGGUUGUAAAUCUUAAGGAAGCACGUGACUUCUCCAAUAACAAAGGGAAUAUAUAUGUGUUCAAGAAAUUAGAAUGGGAGUCUUUAUCUAUUGAUCUCCUGCCUCAUCCUGAUAUGUUUGCCGAUGCCAGUUUAGCACGUUCUCAAGGGGGUUCAACUCAAAGAGAUGAUGAUGGUGCGAAGCGAGUUUUCUUUGGUGGAGAACGGUUUUUGGAAGGAAUAUCAGGAGAGGCUCAUAUCACAGUACAGAGGACUGAACAAAACAGUCCCCUUGGGCUGGAGGUUCAACUACAUAUUACAGAAGCUGUCUGUCCUGCAUUAAGUGAACCAGGACUUCGAGCUCUUCUCCGCUUCAUGACUGGAUUAUACGGAUGUCUUAAUAGAGGAGAUGUGGAUCUGAAGGCUCAUCAGCAAUCUACAGAAGCAGCAGGAUGUUCAUUAGUCUCUAUUCUUGUAGAUCACAUUUUUUUCUGCAUUAAGGAUGCUGAGUUCCAGCUUGAGCUCUUGAUGCAGUCACUUUUCUUUUCUCGGGCAACAGUUUCUGAUGGAGAAAUUGCUAAGAACUUGACUAAGGUUAUGAUUGGUGGACUGUUCUUACGGGACACAUUUUCGCGCCCUCCAUGUACUUUGGUGCAACCAUCAAUGGAGCCUGUCACAGAAAAUGAUGUGCAGAUUCCUGCCUUCGCUAAGAAUUUUUGCCCCCCAAUAUAUCCUUUGGGAGACCAGCAGUGGCAGCUAAGUGUAGGUAUUCCUUUGAUAUGCCUUCAUUCACUUCAGGUCAAGCCUUCUCCAGUCCCACCAUCUUUUGCUUCAGAAACAGUUAUUGCUUGUGAGCCUCUUAUGAUUCACCUCCAGGAAGAAUCAUGUUUGCGGAUAUCUUCUUUCUUAGCUGAUGGAAUUGUUGUCAGUCGUGGAGAUGUUUUACCCGAUUUUUCAGUAAAUUCCUUAAUGUUCAUUCUCAAGGCAUUAGAUGUCAUUGUUCCUCUGGACAUGAGUAAAUUAAAUAAUCCAGUUGCCAACAAGAAUUCCAUUGCCCAGAAUUCCUUUACUGGAGCAAGGCUUCAUAUUGAGAAUUUGUUCUUCUCGGAGUCACCUUCCUUAAAACUCAGGCUGCUAAAGCUGGAGAAAGAUCCUGCUUGCUUCUGUUUGUGGCAGGGUCAGCCUAUUGAUGCAAGCCAGAAGAAAUGGACUGUUGGAGCAUCACACCUUGGUUUGUCUCUGGAAACUUCUAGCAGGUCUGAUGGGCAACUGAAUUCUCAUGGGUUGGCUUCAGGCUUGUGGAGAUGCGUUGAACUAAAAGAUGCUUCUAUUGAGGUAGCCAUGGUAACUGCUGACGGAAGUCCAUUAACAAAUGUUCCUCCUCCUGGAGGUGUUGUCAGAGUAGGUGUUGCUUGUCAACAGUAUUUAUCCAACACUUCUGUUGAGCAGUUAUUUUUUGUCCUGGAUCUUUAUGCUUACUUUGGCAGAGUUGGUGAAAAGGUUGCCUCCGUUGGCAAAAAUAGGAGACCAAAGAGAAGUGGGAAUGAAUCUUCAGGUGGUAGGCUAAUGGAUAAGGUUCCUUGUGAUACUGCAGUAAGCCUAGCAGUGAAGCUUCUUCAGGUUAGAUUUCUAGAAUCUUCCACAAUAGAUAUUGAGGGAUUGCCUUUGGUUCAAUUUAUUGGAGAAUAUCUUUUCAUCAAAGUUUCUCAUAGAACCCUUGGUGGUGCCAUGGCUGUGUCAUCCACUUUACACUGGCAAACUGUUGAGGUGGACUGUGUAGAGACAGAUGGAAGCUUGGUGCAUGAAAAUUGCACAAUUUUAACUUCUGUUGAGAAUGGUUGUGUGGUGUCCGCAAAUGGUUAUCCUCAAUUACGAGCCAUCUUUUGGGUGCAUAACCAGAGGAAGCAUCAACAAAAUGGUAUUGCUCAGGCAAUUCCGUUUCUGGAUGUUAACAUAGUCCAUGUCAUUCCAUUCAGUGAACGUGAUAAAGAGUGCCAUAGUUUAAGUGUGUCAGCCUGUAUUUCUGGUAUUCGCCUUGGUGGUGGAAUGAACUAUGCUGAAACCCUGUUGCAUCGAUUUGGAAUACUUGGGCCCGAUGGUGGUCCUGGAGAAGGGCUUUCUAAAGGAUUAAAGAAUUUAUCAACAGGGCCGCUAUCAAAACUUUUCAAAAUAUCGCCUCUCACAGUUGAGUUAAGAGAGGGUAUGAGAUCGUCUCUCAAAAUUUUUAUCUAAAUGGUUUCUUAUUAUCUAUUUACUGUACUACUUCUGUGUAAUCGUUUCAAGGUUUCUACAUCCGCUGCUGUGGUCUUAAGUUUUCAGUUUUUCUACAGAUAAGCAUUCAGAAAAUGGGAAAGAUGGUGGGUUUUUGCACUUGGAAAUGCCAGAUGAUGUGGAUGUGUGUAUAGAAUUGAAAGAUUGGUUAUUUGCACUUGAGGGUGCACAAGAGAUUGCAGAAAGGUGGUGGUUUUCCAACCCUGAAGAUGUGGGCAGAGAAGAGAGGUGCUGGCACACAACUUUCCAAAGUUUGUUUGUAAAAGCAAAAAACAUUCCAAGGCAUGAACUGAAUGGAAAAGGGAAGUCACAUGGAAGACAGAAAUAUCCAGUGGAAUUGGUCACAGUUGGUGUGGAAGGCUUGCAGAUCUUGAAGCCACUGGGACAAAAGGGCAUUUCUGUGUCCGAGAAUGGUGUGAAACAAGUCGAGACAUCUGGAGGGAUAAAUCUUGAAGUUCACAUGGUGAUGUCAGGGGAAAAUAUUGAUGAUGAGAUGCCCACAUGGGUAUUGGAAAACUUGAAAUUCUCUGUUAAGCAACCGAUUGAGGCUGUUGUGACCAAAGAUGAGCUCCAGCACCUUGCUUUGUUGUGCAAGUCUGAAGUUGAUGCAAUGGGUCGGAUAGCUGCCGGGGUCCUCAAGCUACUCAAACUGGAGCAUUCCAUUGGCCAGGCAACCAUAUACCAACUCAGCAACCUUGGAAGUGAGAGCUUUGAGAAGAUUUUCUCCCCUCAAAAACUUAGCAGGGGUAGUAGUCCUUGUAGCUUCGGUUUCUCUUCAAUGUCAAAUCCGAUUGAGACUCUGCAGACAACAUUGGAAUCAACAGUUGGUUCACUUGAGGAGGCAGUUUUGGAUUCACAAGCUAAAUGUUCUGCCCUUAUUACUGAUAUAUCUGCAUCAGAAUCCUCUGUACAGUACCUUGCUGAAAUCAAACAAUUAAGUCAGAAGCUCGAAAGUAUGCAGAAUUUAAUAAAGCAAUUACGGACUCAAAUCUAAAUUGCUUUAGCCAUGCCCCUCCAUCGUGUGCAAUUUUUGGAUCAUAUGGUAUACUCGAUUCUUUUCUUGUACAUACGUAUAGUAUUAUAGAAAUAGGUUGAGUGUUGCAGUGAUGAGGCAGAAAUGAAAGCUGUUCAUUUGUAGUAAAACAGAUUUUGCAUCCCGUAGAUGAUAAUAUCGUUGUGAAAUGUGGUUGGUAAACAUGUUUGCAGUAUUGCCAGAGCAAGCUGGUUUAAAUACUUUGAUUUGCCAAUAUUACUUAUAUUUUUAUUCAAAUAAAAUCUCUAUUCUCUUUUAAAA
RNAcentral lists this unclassified non-coding RNA (5051 nucleotides) under Hevea brasiliensis (rubber tree). The record is from RNAcentral. Lineage: Eukaryota; Viridiplantae; Streptophyta; Magnoliopsida; Malpighiales; Euphorbiaceae.